AACAAGAUAGACCAUAAUUUAUUCCAUAAUAGAUACCUCGCUUGUUUUUAUUGCUGCCUUGUACAAGCUCUUAAUAACUUAGCAUUGAUCUUCAGAAUGUGUUAGAUAUCCACUUUUUUCUUUUAACAAAUAUUUAUUGAACACCUCCUAUAUUAUAACAACUGUCCUGGUAGCAAAAAGAGCAGGCAACUCCCAUAUUUCGAAGAGUGAGGACAAGGGUGGAUGAUGUGAGAUGGUCAAGCCUCUUUCAGCUCCUUCUCCAUUAGAAUCCUCCGUGUCCUGAUGGAAACGCUGUCACCAAUUCUUCUCUAUUCUGUACAACCUGUGUCUGUACAGUGCUGAUUUUCCCUAAAUUGAUGGAACUUACUACAUCUUCCUGGAGCUUAGGAUAUAAGUUUGGAUUCAGGGAAAAGACGUUCAGAGAACUGUUCCUUGGAUGCAGUGCUAUCUAAGAAAAUGUCAAAUUUAUGCCAGUAAAACUCCCACCAGUUUUGGGGAGGAGGGUUGAUUAAUUCAGAACCCAAAAGAGCUUUAGAAACAGUGAGGGAGGAACAUGACCUUCUUCUUCUCAUUUUAUAAACAGCUAUUAAGGUGGCAAAACUCUGCACAGAGGCAUUGACUGAAAGAAGAUAGGAAAGGAGAGAGGUUAUUAGUGACCCCUUUCUUUAGCUGAAGUUACAGUCUGGUGACAGUUAACAGUCAUUGUGGUUGACAUAGGAAAUGCCAAGUGUCAAUGGAAGGCACCUUUAUGCUUGCAAGGUCAAAAUGACUGUACUUUGAGAUUGUAACCAUUGUGUCCUUGCCACGCCCAGCACCUCGAGUGCAAGGCUCUUGUACUUUUGCUACUAAUACGAAAUUGAAGUUUCUUGUUACAUCACUUCCCUAGAAUUAAGAGCUCAUGCUGGAGUCACUUCAAUGUCACAGCUCUGCACCCACAGUUCAGUUCAUCAGAUACUUUCUGUAUCAUGAUAGAACUUAGUUGACUGAAGAACCGCAGUUGGAAAACUCACUAAAAUGGUGAAAGGAACAGGAUAGGGGUUCAGAUGGAAUAAAAGUUUGGAAGUGAUAAUGUCUGUGAGCUAUUACUAUAUCUUAACAGAGGUGGGCUGGGGGUUAGUGCACUGGACUUCAUAAAUGACAGGCACCCCCAAAGAAAGGUCAUUU
Rattus rattus (black rat) is the source of this 1164-nucleotide long non-coding RNA. RefSeq lists it as uncharacterized. The transcript has 3 exons. NCBI's taxonomy places the organism in Eukaryota, Metazoa, Chordata, Mammalia, Rodentia, Muridae. The record is from RefSeq and is a predicted model, not a curated record.